This 542-nucleotide unclassified non-coding RNA is filed under the name Chuquiraga avellanedae. RNAcentral's name for it is "partial external transcribed spacer". Lineage: Eukaryota; Viridiplantae; Streptophyta; Magnoliopsida; Asterales; Asteraceae. The record is from RNAcentral.
UGGCAGGAUCAACCAGGUAGCAUUCCUCUUCGACGUCGUCGAUCGCACACGAACGAGUCGACGUGCGAACGACGGUCGUUUUGGAGAAGCGAGAACGCUCGAUAAGGGUAACACAAGGCCGCAAGAGCCCCGUACCCGAUUAAGGUUCCGCAUCCAAGAGACCAAGCGAUGCUCGAUGAGCCACUUCGCCAACGCUACAGCAUUGGUAAGACGGAGCACAGAGACCGCUUCGAGGUUCACCCCACGUCGUGUGCACGACGCAUGAUGAAAAGGGACAUUGAUAUCACGAUGUAAUUCCGUCAAAUAGGUAUACAACACAGAAAACCCGUCGGAUGCGCAAGGAAGAACCUUGCCGCACAACUGAAAAGGCAUGCCCGGGUGGACGUCGCUGCGCAAGCAGAAGUCCAACCACCCGUAACACGCCAAACACCACUCACGCACCUUUACGGUCGACAUUCCCUAGAAUCACUCAAACGUCCCUGCCACUUGUGAGGCACGAAUGCCAAACAAGCAACAAGAAGCCGAAGCAACCCCCAGAAUGC